This 66-nucleotide transfer RNA is filed under the name Orthonevra geniculata. RNAcentral describes it as "tRNA-Leu". The record is from RNAcentral. Lineage: Eukaryota; Metazoa; Arthropoda; Insecta; Diptera; Syrphidae.
UCUAAUAUGGCAGAUUAGUGCAAUGAACUUAAACUUCAUAUAUAAAGUAAUUUACUUUUUUUAGAA